AUAUCACCAAAACCAUAUAGUUGGAAGCCAUAUAUGCCAUAUUACACUAAAGUGAUAAAGGAUUAUUUAACCCAUCCAUUAUUUGUC
RNAcentral lists this transfer RNA (87 nucleotides) under Trichinella patagoniensis. RNAcentral describes it as "tRNA-Gly". Lineage: Eukaryota; Metazoa; Nematoda; Enoplea; Trichinellida; Trichinellidae. The record is from RNAcentral.